Molecule: ribosomal RNA, 482 nt
Filed under: uncultured bacterium
Lineage: Bacteria
Description: partial 16S ribosomal RNA
Rfam family: Bacterial small subunit ribosomal RNA
Source: RNAcentral
AUUGAACGCUGGCGGCAUGCUUUACACAUGCAAGUCGAACGGUAACAGGCCGCAAGGUGCUGACGAGUGGCGAACGGGUGAGUAAUGCAUCGGAACGUGCCCAGUCGUGGGGGAUAACUACUCGAAAGAGUAGCUAAUACCGCAUACGAUCUAUGGAUGAAAGCGGGGGACCGUAAGGCCUCGCGCGAUUGGAGCGGCCGAUGUCAGAUUAGGUAGUUGGUGGGGUAAAGGCUCACCAAGCCAAUGAUCUGUAGCUGGUCUGAGAGGACGACCAGCCACACUGGGACUGAGACACGGCCCAGACUCCUACGGGAGGCAGCAGUGGGGAAUUUUGGACAAUGGGCGCAGGCCUGAUCCAGCAAUGCCGCGUGCAGGAAGAAGGCCUUCGGGUUGUAAACUGCUUUUGUACGGAACGAAACGGCUCUGGUUAAUACCCGGGGCUAAUGACGGUACCGUAAGAAUAAGCACCGGCUAACUACGUG